Clostridium sp. CAG:58 is the source of this 169-nucleotide non-coding RNA. The record is from Rfam. NCBI's taxonomy places the organism in Bacteria, Bacillati, Bacillota, Clostridia, Eubacteriales, Clostridiaceae.
CAAUAGGAUAGAGGCGCGGGCUUCAAGAGUAACGGAAGACAAGGCUGGACCGCCGUUUUCCGCCAAAGGGGAGACCGCCGAAGGAGUUUUGUCCGGUCCGGGGCAGGGUUCCUGGUACGACGCAGAAGAUGCGGCGUACUGUCACGAUACGUGGAGCGCUAUCUUGUGU